Long non-coding RNA from Populus trichocarpa (black cottonwood), 1463 nucleotides. RefSeq lists it as uncharacterized. The record is from RefSeq and is a predicted model, not a curated record. NCBI's taxonomy places the organism in Eukaryota, Viridiplantae, Streptophyta, Magnoliopsida, Malpighiales, Salicaceae. The transcript is spliced from 2 exons.
UGAUGAAUUGCCUCCAUUACGAUUUAUCAGUAAGAUAUUAGUUUUAAUUUCUAGUGAUGUUCAUAAAAAUGAAGUUAUGUCUCAUUCAUUAAAAAAUAAAUGAGUGCUUACAUUUUCCCGUUAAUCAUCUAAAUACUCUCAUUUAAUUAAUAUAAUUAUUUGACACAUCUUAAAUAAAAUAAAUGAAACUCAUUCAUGAUAUUUGAAUAUAUAUGCUCUUCAAUUUAAUUAUGUCAAGAAAGAAAUAAGUAAUUAUCAGUAUGGUAUUUAGAAUACUCGAACAAUUAAAAGAAAAUGAGAUUUAAAGUUAAUCUCCAAUCAAUAAAUCUUCCAUUAAUCUAAAAUAAUUAAAAAAAAUCAUUAUACUAAACUCGAAGAAACAUUUAUUUCAACACAGCAUGUAAUCGAUACAAAAUGCGAAGCAUAGCAUACUUCACAUUUUUUGCAUGGUCGCCAUGGGGGAAUGGGUCUUUUUCAGAAGAGAAGCUGGCGGAGAAAAAUUCCAAGGCGAGGGGCAUUGUUGUCAUAACAAAAUGAGGCUGUUGAGUGCUGAGUUAAUAGAGAAACUGCCCUUAGAGCCAAAUGUAGGGUUGCAUGAGGCACCCAGCGCCGGCAACCUCCACAUUGCAUCACCGGCCUGGUGGAAUGGGAGACACGUGCACCUGCUAGCUGCUGCUUAUGUCCAAUCCACUUCGUCUGGCUUUUACACAGAAAGGCCCAUCUUUCCUGUCAUUUUGCCAAGAUUCUUCCCCUCAGGUUAACGGAAACCACAACGCGUGACAAAAGUUUGCCAGCGCUCCAACAGGGAAGGUCCCAAGCGUGACAACACUUUCUAGCAUCUCUUGCUUGGUGCAAUGAAGAGAAGAUGGUGAGAAUCUUGGCUUUCCAUGCAUGCCACAGACAAGGUUCUACAAUCCACACAUGGAUGAACAUGAUUAGGAGCUUAUCCCUAGCAAGCCUGGCGAGUUUUGGGUAGGCACGACCAAAGCUAUCCAAGAAAAUCCCAUCUGCGUGCCGUAUUUCAAUUUGCUCAGGAGCUUAUUGUCUGGAUAAUUAAUUAUUCCAUGAAAGCUAUCUUCAUAUGCUGUGUGUGGAUGAUAGAGGUUUGAUUCUCGUUGGAGAACGAUAAAAGUGGGGAGAUGUUAUUUUCAUUUCACAGUUGCUUAUCCCACCAUCUGAUCUUUCUCUCUGCCAGCAGCGUUUCUUUUCUCCAUUCUCGCUAGCUCAUGUCAAUAAUUUUGUUGGCGGCAGCAGUACUGUUACUUGCGUUUCACCUUUCUGGGUUUUGACUUCUAGUAUUGCACUCGAUACUUUGAUUUUUCACAGUGCCAAAACUGAUAGUGAGUUGUUGAAGAGAAUAGAGUGCGCCCUACCCCUUCUUUUUUAUUAUAGUUUCUUCCAAUUUGAGAAAUUAAUAUGUACUAUAGAUCUUAGUUUAUUAUUUAUUUUUAUUUCGUAAAAUU